GAGAGACUUCAAGACUUUCUUGACACGGGAGUAUGUAUUUGGAGAGCGACAAAAUGAGACUCCCUGUCUAAAGUACCAGAUCACUGAUGAGGAGUGGAUGCAAUUUCGUGCCACUCGAUUGGACCCUUCGUGGCAGGCUAAAAGAAUAGCUGCCCAAGAACGACAGGCCAAGAAUGAUGCACCCCAUCUAUUGUCAAGAGGGGGAUAUGAAAG
Molecule: non-coding RNA, 213 nt
Organism: Cajanus cajan (pigeon pea)
Lineage: Eukaryota; Viridiplantae; Streptophyta; Magnoliopsida; Fabales; Fabaceae
Source: RefSeq, a predicted model, not a curated record